UGAAUUGGUAUGUGAUGAUUUAUAUAUAUAAAUAUGGUGUUGUGGACGCUCAGGUAAGCUCAGGUAAGUUGUGUUUGGUUAUGUGAAUCAUCGAUGAUGCGAUAUGUGGUUGAAUAAUGUUGAGCUCAUAACACUGCACGUAGGGUGAUUAUGAUUUAGCCAUAGAUAUGGCACAUGCCUGUUUAUUAUGUCACCUCCCGCACCAUAUGCUCAUAUUGGGUCCAAUUUAGGUGCAUAGUCCUGUCGUACAUACCUAUUUAUGGUUCCGACUCAUAGGUGACUAGCGAUUUAUCGUCCAACUAUUAUGUGAGAGUAGUAUUGAGCAUGAUUAUAUUACACCCAUUAUUGUCGUAUAGACCUUUUUGUUUGGUUCCGACUCUUGUGCAGUAUGUUGCCGUAUAGGUCAUAGUAGUGACUCUGGAUAGAGUGAUUUUUGAGCUAUAAAUUCAACCGUACAGACUACCACAAGGGUUCCGGCUAACAUGUUAUAUUUCUAUGAAAUUAACCUUAUCUGAAUUGCUUACUCUGUUAUAUCUUGGCAUGGCAUACAUAUGAAUAUGAUUAUGUGAAGCAUGAAUUGAAUUGAUAUGAUUUCAUAUAUAUUUAUGUAUAUGCUUAUAUCUUGAUUCUGGGAAAAAUUAUACAUGUUUUACAGCGAAGGGUUAGAUAUGUUGAUAAAUGAAAUGGUUUUGUAAAACAUUUGUUUUUGCCCACUCACGUUUUCUGUUUUGCGCCCCUCCAGGUUUUAAGUAAGCUUGCUGUUGGUGGCUUGAGGACGUCGGCAGUUCAAACCUAUUUAAAUAAUAGUAGAACAUUCCUAGUACUGUAUAACUAGUACUUGUCCUACUGGACUACACCUAGACUUAUUAUGCUCUGAUUAGGAGUGUUUACUUUUGUAACUAACUCCUAUCACUUCCUGUUUAGUAGUGCACUCUAGUAAUUUGGUUUUUUAAUUAUUCGUAUUGUUGAUGCACAAAAUCCGUGAGGACUUUGGUACAACAGAAAGUGUCAAGUUUGUGACCUUCGCUAGAUUGCUUCAGUCACUAGUGUGGAUAAGUAUAUAAAUGGAUGGGGACAGGGAAGCAAACACAAGAUGUACGUAGUUCACCCAGAUUGGCUACGUCCAC
This 1127-nucleotide long non-coding RNA is filed under the name Malus domestica (apple). RNAcentral's name for it is "long non-coding RNA (MDOM_LNC000046)". The record is from RNAcentral. Lineage: Eukaryota; Viridiplantae; Streptophyta; Magnoliopsida; Rosales; Rosaceae.